Molecule: ribosomal RNA, 270 nt
Filed under: uncultured bacterium
Lineage: Bacteria
Description: partial 16S ribosomal RNA
Rfam family: Bacterial small subunit ribosomal RNA
Source: RNAcentral
CCUUGCCGGCGACCGGCGCACGGGUGAGUAACACGUAUGCAACCUGCCCUCUUCAGGGGGACAACCUUCCGAAAGGGAGGCUAAUCCCGCGUAUAUCGGUUUCGGGCAUCCGAGAUCGAGGAAAGAUUCAUCGGAAGAGGAUGGGCAUGCGGCGCAUUAGCUAGACGGCGGGGUAACGGCCCACCGUGGCGACGAUGCGUAGGGGUUCUGAGAGGAAGGUCCCCCACACUGGUACUGAGACACGGACCAGACUCCUACGGAAGGCAGCAG